Molecule: long non-coding RNA, 6357 nt
Organism: Marmota monax (woodchuck)
Lineage: Eukaryota; Metazoa; Chordata; Mammalia; Rodentia; Sciuridae
Exons: 3
Source: RefSeq, a predicted model, not a curated record
UUGUUUUGUGUCUUGGCUUGUGAACUCACGGUGACUGAGAGCUUCUUGAAGGAAUCCAGCCUCCAAGAACAACUAGAAAACCCAAACACUUUUGUUUCUCUGAAAUUUGCAGAUACAUUUACAUACAGUGACUGUCUCAAUGCUGCCAUUUGGGGGAGUCUCAUAAAGACUUGGUUUGAAGAAGCACCUCGCCAUUUAGAUUCUUCUGCCAGGACAUUUUUUUGUUUUGCUUCCUUCUCCCUUUUCUUCUCUAGCAGAGAACAGGCAGGUUGGGAAACUUGACUUUGACCAGGAGAAGAAGUAUGCGCGGGGCAGGGAAUAACAGGCACCAGGAAGAUUAAUUGCCCUCGUUGGAAUCCGGCUUGACUGGGUGAGAAGCACUUGAAACAGUAAACAGCACCGUGGAGAAUUCCCCAGUGGAGCUGCGGUCUGCUUCCUUUCGCAGGCCCGCAGGCCUGUUUGCUGGCAAUUCAGGCACGUGUAAGUGUGCGUGCCCCUGUCCAGGCCCCCCGGCUCGUGGCACUGAAGUCAGUGGCCUUCUUUUUGAGUGUGCAUCACGCCUGGGUUUUUUGGUGUGAGAGGCAAUCUCCUACGACCUUACCUUCUCAGCCACGGAGGAGAAGGGCGAAACAUUUGAGCUUCGUAGGACAAAAUCCACUGACUUCCAAAGAAAAGAAGAGUGCAGAAGAGGAAGGAAGAGAUGUGGAGUCAAAGUUGGAACUCACAUGUCUUUGGAUCUCUUUGUGAAAGUCGGCAAAGCCUCUGAGGGCUGAGAGCUUUGCGCUGAAUAAACACUCAGAAAUGGAGAGCUGCUGACCUCAGACUCCUUCAGCCCUUGACCUGGAAGCUCUUGCAGGUCAACUGCCCUCCUCCCUCGCUGUCCCUGAGCACACAAUGUUUCCCUGCCAUGGGAGGGGUCUGCUGACCCUGACUGCAGUGCUGUGGGUCCCCCCGGCGAGACGAAGCUGGACCUUUGGCUUCUCAGGACGUUCUAGUGCUCCAGGAAAGUGGAUAACAGGAGCAAAUUGGAUGCUGUCCUUACAGGAUGAUGACCCUCCCCAUCUGCCACAGCUACAGAGAAAAUGGCGGGGGGCUCGGGGCGAGACCAUUGAGCGCUUGGAGCCCAGACAGGCUCUUAGAUGUGCUGUGCUAAUUAGCCAAUUAUUCUCCCCGUUUUUACCAAGGUCACUACCCUGGGCCGAGGAGGGCUGUUCUCUUUUUGUUUAGCUUCUCCUCAGCUCUGUGAGGCCUUAGAAGAAGAAAGUAACAAGAGGAACGAGAGCCAUGAUAUGACUGUGAGGAAGAACACGAGACCCCAUUGAAACAAAACUUCCAGUCCUUUAUUCAUUACUCCUUCAUUCAUUCAUCAGAUAUUUUUAGAGCAUCUUCAGUGUGCACAGAACCAAGCUAAUUGCUAACAUCACAAAUGAUGAUGUUAUGAAGGUUAUGAAGAUUUUCAUCCUUCCAGAAGAACUCUUGGCAUGGGUAGGUGAUAAAGUGGUGCAUGCCUCUCCUGGGAACGGCAGGGAGUUCAGUCGCCCUUCCUAAGGAUGCUUGAGAGGGCACCUGUGUCUGUCAGCUCUCUCUGCUCUUGUCCCUUGUCACUUCUUCUUGUUUCUCCCCUGGCUGCUCUGGCUCUCUGUAUUCUGAUUUGCCCCAAAGUAUGAACAAAUUUUCUUCCUUUACUGCCCAGGACUGCAGCUGUGAGCUGUGGUAAAUAGAUCACAGUGGUGUUUUAAAAGUUACUGUGAGAGAAUUACAACGCAGAGAGGCAAGACUUGCUAUCACUGUUCCAAGGGCAUCUCUCAGCCCUGGCCACUGGCUGUCUUUCUGGUGGAGUCCACACCCACCUCCGUGUUGUCCCUUCUACUAGCCUUGGGGGACUUUCUUAGUGGCCAGGCGAUGUCUCCUUAGAGGUGCACCAGGCCACCCAAGGGCUCGAUUUUAACACUGGCCUCUUUUAGUUUUAGUCUUUCUUUUUGCAUCUGUCAUUGGGCACUUUCUUUGCAGAUUAAAAAGUACACCACAGUGUUUUCCCAAAUUAAAAAACAAAAACAAACAAACUAUUUUACCCUGUAGAUAAAUUCUUUUGCACAACCUAGAAUGCAGAAAUAGCCGUGGGCAGCUUUUAGAGGAGCAUUCUGCUUCAUAAUUAAGAUGACAGGGCCGCUGCUCGCAGUCUGAGCGUACUGGGAGAGACAAUGGGUGAACGCGCUUUGCAGCAGAAUAUCGUAAGUGACAUGACAGGGCUGUGCGUGGGCUGCUAUAGGACCACACAGGAGGGAGCGUUUAACUCUACCCGCUGAUCCUCCCAGAAGGCUUUAUAGAUUGACCUGAGUUAGGAAUUUUCCAGGAAGAUAAUGGGGAGACAGCAUUCCAAGCAGCUAGAACAGUAUGUGAAAAUCACAGAGGCAUGAACGAGACUGACAAUCUGGAGGAACAACAAGUUUUUGUGUGACGGUAGCAUAAGAUGGGGGAAGGGCAGGACCACAUAGCAUGUCCAGAGGUUGGGACGCAGGGUCUGCCUCCAGCAUAUAAAAUUCAACCAAUGAAAUAAAUAUUGGUUGAAAGAAUGAAUGGUAAGCUGGUCAUGGGUUCCAAAGACCUGGAUAGUAACCAGCAUCUCGGGCACAUACAUCUGGCUGAGGAGUUGCAUUGUAGAAGUUUUUGAAUGGCAUCUCUUUUUCUGCCAGUUUUAAGGGGUAAUUUGGGAAUGAUUUUAAUAAAGAGGCAAGUUACAAUGAUGUGGUCAGGGGGAGGAGGACUUCAAGGGACAGUGAAGUGCCUGCAGGCUGUUACCAGCCCUCAAGAGAAGAGGCAUGGAGUGUCACUGGAACCCAGAGGGGAAAGUUAUGUCGGUGGGCCGUCUUAGCAGGACUUGUGAACUUCAUGGAAGUUGACAGACACCUGGAAGAGGCUGAGGGAAAAAUACUUUGCUAUUAUUCUCCUCUCUCCCUUCAAUCUUCUAACAGGCCUUCCCAGUGGCUGAAGGACUAGGGAGCCUGUGCCCCUUCGCAGGCAGAGACUUAGGUGGUGGUUUACGGCCACCUUCGUCUUUGCUCACGCUCAAGGUCAGGAUGCACAUGGAGGCGAACACGAGUCUCCCUCCAAGGACUCCACCUGUUUUCAUCUUCGGCUGUAUCUGUGGCUUCUGAGUUAUCCAGGCUUCAAAUUAGUCUUGAGGCAAUUAGGUUUCCCUUCUUUCCAUAGAUGCAGCUCAUUUUUUGAUCUCUAGAGGACGGUCUGGUGAACACUUGACGGACAGCCCAGCCCAGUUGGUUGCUGAGGUUGGAGAGAGUGAGUUCAGCUGGAUGCUGCAGUAGCAAGGCAGAAGGAUCUUCUUGUGGAUUUGAGAUCUGAUCUGAAAAUGCGAAGUCUCAAAUAUAAAAAAGGACAUCACUGGACUAUUUGUGCCACGACUGAACACAGCCCUCACAUGUGACCUCCUAGAAGGGGAAGGCAGGUGACAUGUGCUGGUUGUCUACCAUGUUCGGGUCCAGGUCAGGUACUUUGCAAGACUGGAGCUUUGGAGUAAUUGAACUUGGAGGUCCUCAUUAGUCACCAGCAGAUUCACAGCUGUAUUGAAAACAACCUUGAUAAAAAAGAAAACUUCCCAUCUCUGUGAUUUACUUCUGUUAAACCGGAGAAUUUUUUUUUUUUGCAGACCUUUGAAAAAUUAAACUAAUGCAAAAACCUCUGUGGGGAAUUGUUGCCACAGCUGGGUGGAACGCAUCAACUAUUAAAUAAUGACACUUCACGAGGCAGCUGAGCAUAGAGCAUGGUGGCCCACGGAAGCUGCAGAAAAAUCUAAAUAGACAGAAUGCAGAAGCUCAGUAGGAAUUUGACUAGGCUAAUAAUAUUUCAUGGGUAUAUAAACCUGUAAUUUAGCCUCCGGAUUUCUGCCCUCUGUUUCCCUUCUCUACUUGGUUUUUCUCAUGUACUUUCCAACAAGGAAAAUAAGGUUGUCAUAAACCUUCCACCUUGGUUGAUGGAUUCAUUGCAAGCAGCGGAGGCUUUUUUUUACUACACACCACAAUUAGGAGUCAGUGGGGCUCAAUGAAACUAGAGGAUUUUACACAGUUGAGCCUGGCAGCUCUUUGGUUUGUUGGCAAUCUCUUGGUGAUCCUGAAGCCCCUCUUCUGGGAAUUCCAUUUUUACAAAUGAAGCCAACCCAGGAGGCUCUAACUUUGACCACCUCUUCCUCAGUGAAGUCCUAGUAACCCAGGUGGGUGAACUAACAUUUCCCUUUGUAGGCUUUGCUAAUACCCAAUUCCUUUGCCUAAAUGAAGAUGAUAACCUGCAUCAGAGAGACAGAAGUGUGGCUUCCCGAACACCGCGUUAUUUGGAGGAAAUGUACUGACGAAUGCUAGCAUGAAAUCCUAACCUUUCUGACUUAGCUGAAACCAAAUUGAAAUUAUUGUUGCCAUCAAUCAGGAACAGUUUUUAAAACCUCUGCCUUCUGGAAAUCCUUUCUCUGUGACUUUAAUAGCCCUGGUUAUCCCGUUAGGCACAAAACCAUUAUUUUUUUAAAGGUGAGAUAUAUUUUGUUAAUUCCUGCUUUUACUUGUUAUAAGAUACUCUAGUGCCUUGCAAAACUGCCCCAUUAAUUGUGAGCCUCUCUGAACGAGGGCAGCCACACGCCACUGGCAUCUGCUAGUUGCAGCACUACCUGAUCCUGCUUUUUCUCAGCAUUUCUGCAUCUUCCAGAUGCUGCCACUUAUGUCACGUCUAGUUGAUGCACCAGAGUCCUGGACUGUCAAAGUCUCCUAAAGCUGUCAGUGUAUUUUAGGUAAGGGAAUAAGGACACUGUUAUUCACUAUUAGCCAAGUGCCAAGGGGGCAUUUCUCUCCGCUACUAAACUAAAAACGUUAAACAUCUUAUCAUUCCUUCAGUUAUAAUUUGAAAUCUGUUUUCCCCCUAAGGAAUAAGAAUCUACAGGGGUUGGAAGAACUACCCAGAUGUCAGGUGCUAUGUUCUUUCUCUCUGGCGUUGGUGCUCUCUGUCAGCUCUCCUGGGAGUCAGUUUGCUCCUAGAGGCUCCUCAGUCUUUCAGUGUCAGACGUGUAUGGAAUCAUCGCUGGAUGGCAGACACACUAUUUAGCACUUCAAAAGUACACAGGAGCUUCAUUUCCUCUGCGAUCCAUCACUGAAGAAAAAGCCACUGUUCACCAUCACUUAUUCUUAACAAAUGCUUAAUACUGCUCUUGACGUGGGCUGGAUCCUGGAGGGAAAACUAGAAUCAUGAAGACCCGAGACCAAAUUUCAAUGAGUGUAUGGUCAACAGCUAUUGCACGAGGUGGAAUGCGGGCAGAUGUGCAGAAGUGGGAAGUGCUGGGUUUGCUCAGGGAAAGAUGAUUCCAGUGGUUUGGAAGAGGAGUUCCGUUCACAUGAGAGGGAUCUAUGGAGGAUAAAGUAGGAGAGAUGAUGAGGUCGAACCCAAUUCCCCUGUCCUGGAAUGCUCUUCAUUCUUAGUCCUCCACUGAGCCUCCUUCAACCCCAGCCUGUCCAGUGCAUCCUUCUCACUUCUGAGCCAAAACCAGUCUCCCCUUCUCUGUGCUAUCCUCCCGCAUUGCUUAUAAGUCAAUAAGCAAUAGUCUCGUGCCGGAGUUGAUGACUAUAAAUUCACGAAGGAUGAGUUCUGGGUCUUUGCAGUCUGGUUUUCCCUGCAGAGUGCAGAGCAUGAGGUAGGCAGUGUUUAAAUAUUUGUCAAGUGUAAGUGUUCAUAAGUAGUGACUCUUUAGGGAUCGAUUGUGGAAGAAAUGACGUUCCUCUUGUGAACAGGUGAUCCUGUCAUCUCCCUGGUGUGGCUCUGGAUGGCUGCACAGCGCGUCCGGCGCAUGGUGAUAAUUCCAUAUGUUUUUAAGCUCUGGUGUGGAAUGCUUAGCCUCUGUCAAAUUUUAUUUGAGAAUAAAGACUUGUCCUGUGCUCACGCAGAUGUGAAGCUCUGAAAUGCCAUCCACGGCUGUGGGAAAGGGCGUCUCACCUCACGCUGGAGGGUGGCUGGAGGCGUGGGGCGAUUCUUCCUGCUGCCUUUGUCCGGUGACCGCGGUGGCUGCACAGUGCUGGAGAUAUUCCACUUCCUGCUGCAAGUGUGGAGUGGGGACUUUCGCCUUCUCCAGUGCUUUCCUUUCAGCGUCUCCAAGGCUUGCCUGCUGGGCUGGAAAAGCAUCCCAGAGCAGACACGGCUGGCUCUGGGGAAGAAACCCACAGGCAGCGGGAGGUAAAGAAGCAGGCUCUGAACCAGGGUCUGCAGAACCAGCCAGGGUUCCUGAGUUUGCUGCCAACCAACAGCAGAUCCUCAAGAACAAAGAGACGCAGAGGGAACAUGUGACGGGGUGGGGACACCUGGGUCCUCUGU